CAAUAAUAAUAAUAAUAAUAAAGAAAAAGAACAAAAGAAAAAGAAAAAGGAGUCCCCCACCAAGAAUAUUUGGAUGAAAUUGAAACACCUUCCGAUUCCUCAAUUCAUCUUCUUCUUUCAACUUCUCCUCUAACCUUUUUGUCUUCAAUUUUCAUCCUCUCUCCAUUUUCAUAAUCAUAAAUCCUUACAUCCAACAAGAUCACGGACAACAUCUCUUCUCUUUCGGAAGAAUGGCUCGUGUUCGGAAUUUCAGUUCUCAAGGAGGAAUGGUUAACGAUGAUUACUGGGCCACCCUGAAUCGAUAUGAUGUUAAAAACCACCAUCAGAAUACAAGUAGGAGCAGUUAUUAUGAUUAUGGCUAUGGCUAUGGCAGCAACCAUUUUGAAUUUCUGGGGCAGUAUAAAAACCAGGUUGGUAGGUCUAUUUAUGCAAGACCUGAUAAUUUGAACUCCACCAAGCCUCAUAACUCACAGUCUUUUAAGAGGAGGAAGUUUUCUGCUUCACGUUGGGAGGAUAGUGGGAGGUAUCAUUGGCAGGGAAGGACAUAUGAUAAUGGACCUUCCAUCUAUAGCAAUUUGGUCCACCCUCCUCCAAGAUCCAACAAUGAUGUCUCUACAUCUGCCAGCUGUAAACGAGAUCGCAGAAUAAUGGAAGAUGAUGAGCCUUUUUUUAUGUCCAGAGAUGAGAUUGAGAGAUGUUCACCUUCAAGAAAAGAUGGUAUUGACACAAUACGUGAAACACAUCUGCGUUACACGUAUUGCGCCUUCCUUCAGAGCCUUGGUUUGCAGCUUGAGUUACCUCAGACUACCAUUGGCACUGCGAUGAUUCUAUGCCAUCGGUUUUUUGUUCGAAGAUCACAUGCUUGUCAUGAUAGAUUUUUGAUUGCCACAUCUGCACUCUUCCUUGCUGCAAAAUCAGAAGAGACACCACGUCCUUUGAACAACGUCUUGCGAGCUUCAUGUGAAAUUCUGCACAAACAGGAUUUUAAUGUCUUAUCUUACAUGCUCCCAGUUGAUUGGUUUGAGCAAUAUCGUGAAAGAGUAACUGAGGCUGAGCAAUUGAUCUUGACAACUCUAAACUUUGAACUCAACGUGCAACAUCCCUAUGCUCCUCUUAUGUCUGUUCUUAAUAAGAUAGGUCUUUCACAGUCGAUCUUGGUGAAUCUUGCACUGAACUUGAUCAGUGAAGGAUUUGGGAUAUAUGGGUGCAAAGAACCUCAGUGGAAUGACAGAUUUCCUGACUUUUGGCGUUGAUUGUGACAUAAAAGAGGAUAAUGGUGAUCUUCUUUCCUUGAUCAAAAUGGUGUGUUACUUGUGUCAAUUGUUUUCUUGUUAGAGCGGGCUACCCUUGUACAUUUAUCCUACUAUGAAUUAUUGAUUCUUCUGGAAUGCGUAUAAUUUGCAGGAUCUAUGCACGAUUAGCAUGCUCGCCUAUUUGAUAUACUUAGCUGGCGGAUUGAUUUGCUGUUCAUGGAAACUUUUGUUUUACAAGUGAAGUAAUUUUAACCAUGAAUACACCUGAUCGGCUUGAUACUUGGUGUGAAUGAUUGCCAAGGAGCCUACUGCACCACUUUCUAUCUUUUCUUAACAAAAAAAAAAAAAAAAAUUCCAACCCUCCCUGGAGCGUCAAUUGUUUUUAUAACCUAGAGAAGCACUGCCAAUGAUCUUGUUUUCGCUCUUAUUUCACUAUGAUGGAUGGUCAAGUGAGUUGAGUUGAGUAGAGAAUUUUUUUUCUGAUCAACUUCUUUGGACGAGCUUCUAUUUAGCACAGAAUAAGUCACGAUAGGGAUUUAGUUUAUGAUACAAUUCUUCUCAGUCUUUCCUUCCAAGUUUCAAGAAUCAAGUGUACCUAUGACAUAAAUAACAUGUCAAAACGCCAAAGUGAGCUUAGCUCAAGUUACAUAAAGCAUCUAUCCUUGACUAAAAGGUUUGAGAUUUGAAUUUCCCUGCCCCAUGUUGAACUCAGAAAAAAUGAAAAAGAAAAAACAUGUCAAGUCACUGGGUUCUUGAUAUUCCAUUAGCACAAAUACAAGUAAGCCCCUGAGUUGAAAAUCUUAAUUUGUGCCAACUUAUGUUUGUAAGUUGUGUAUUUACUCACAUACUUUGUAGAUUACCAUUUGGUAUUUUCGUCAUUUUGAGUCAGAGAGGGUGGAACUCAUCUGUGGUGUUACUUUGACUGGUUCAAGACAGGCGGAUUUUGAUGAGGGAUAUGGGUUAUCUAAUUUCUUGAUAGGCAUGGAAUGCAAAUUGUAGAAAAUCACUAAAAAAUUAAAAUAAAAUGAUUAUGGAUCUUUCCCUCACACUAGGAGAAUAUAAAAUGUAUGCAUUCUUAUAUAAUUGCGAGUGAGCAGGCUAUUUUCCUUUACAGUGUAUGCCCCCUUCAUGUUCCAUUUUUUUCCCAUCCUUGAUUGUUAUAGAAUAUAUAACCGGAGCUUUUUAAACUUGUUUUUUUAAGAUGAUGUUUUUUCUCUGUCGUAUUUUCAUCACAAUGGAACCUGAAGUUUUGUAGUUUCACGUAAAUACUGACAUUAUUUUAUGACAUAAAAUAUAUUUUACACUGGGAUGGUUUGAUUUUGAAAUUUAUUUGCUGAUGUAUAUGGCUUUUUUUCCCUUCUCACAGGAGCUCUAUCUUUUCUUGUCCUUGCAUUUUCACUUAUAAGCUUUUGGUGUCCUCUUUCCCAUUUUGCUUUUGGUGUAUUUUUUAAAAAUUAUCAUUUAAAUACCUGCAUCUCUUGGCAAUUUUUGAAUGUUCAAGAAUCUAAUUUUUAAAAAGAAAAUUCUCUUAACAAUUGGCAUUCAACUGAUUUGUCUUCUCUGCGGUGCUCCUGUUGUCAAAUAAAUAUCUUUCUCUUGUUAUUUGUCAUUCUGGAUUUUGUAAGCUAUUAAAACUUUGAACUUAUUGUGAAAUUGUUUCAAUUUUCUUCAUUUUGUUUCUAUUGGAGGAUUGAACUCUUUUCUUUCUGUUUGGCUUUUAUUUUUAAUAGUUUAUUAUCUUAUUCAUGGCCUUUUUAAUGUAUGUUGUAUAAAUUUAGCACCGACCUAUAGUUGGAAAGAUGCAUGCUUGGCCUAUUUUAUCCUACACUAGCUAAGACUAUUGAAUGAAUCUGUAAUAUUUUCUUUUUUGGUUUUGAUGUAUCUAUUGACCAGUCAUUUUAUAUUUUGUGAUUUUAGGAAAUCCUGAAGGUGUAAAAUUUUGAAAUAUUCAGUGACAUCAAGGUUUUGCAUUCAAUUUGUUGGGCUUAGAAAUUUUAAAUUUAAUUCCACUCAGGUGAUGUUUGUUACAUUUUUUAUCAUGUUUAGAAUCACUAUCACCAAACAAAUAAAGUGUGAUCUGCAUGCACGUGUAAAGGUAGCUUUGUCCAUGUAAUUCCACCCUCUCUCGCCCGCCCACCAAAACAGAUAAAGAACCAUAUCCUACCCAAAGACUGAGCAAAAUUAUCUUCAAGGUACACACGUUACAAUAGAUGCAACUUCCUGUGUCCAGAGCUAGUUUUGUUUGUAGAAAUCCCACCCUCCCCAACCAGUCUAUGUUCCUAACUAAAAGAGGAACAAAACUGAUGUCCCAGCCUAAAGACUCGAACGAAUUACCUUUAGAAUCUAGUUAAGGUUCAAGCUUUACAAUAGAUGAAACUUUCCAUGAACCUGAGUUCUUACAAAUAGUACACAGACGAAACAACUCAUGCAGACAACCAGAAAAAUGUAAUGACCAGUACACUAUAUACUUAUAUACGUACAUGCAAUAUAUAAGUGUGUGGAAGAAUUAUAUUUUCUUCUGAUGUGUAUUUUGUACGACGGUGGGAAUUUUGGGUUGUAUCUGUAUGUGGGGUUAGCUUGCAUGCGUUCAAGCACGAUGAGAUGAGAGUGCUUGAUGACAUUCCAGUCCAGAUCAACAUUUACGUCGUUUAGAGCUGAAGAUGGUGGGUUGCUUUGAGAAGUUUGAUUGUUUGCGACUUUUAGUUUGGGUUGCAUUAGUCUCUGGAAUCAAAAGCCCCUGCUGCCAAAUUUACCUGGGAGUUUGAUGUAUUCUGUAUAUGGGGUAUAACAUAUGUCAUAUGAUAAUGAUACUAUCGGCAAUCUUCCAGACAUUCUUGGAAAUAUUCUACCUGAGUUGCUGCUUUUUAGUUGGCUAAGGAGCUCACUUUGGCUUCAGUUUAAGCCCCAGCAGAUAGCUGCUGGAGCUGCAUAUCUGUCUGCCAAGCUAUUGAAUAUGGACUUUGCUCCUUAUCAAAAUAUCUUGCAAGAGUUCCAAGCAACGCCAGCCAUUCUCCAAGAUGUGGCCCAGCAGUUGAUGGAGCUAUUCUGAAGAUGAAGCACACCCAGUGUAGUGAAACGAUGGGAAAUGAUAACAUGUUUGUGAUUCUUACGUCCAAGUCUUCAAUAGUUAAAUCCUGACAGUUGGUUUAGGUUAUAGUGUGACUAUGUUGGAAGGUUUAACAUGAAUGGUUCUUCAUUCCCUUCCCAUGUUCAAGACAGUGUUUUACAAGUUAAGUAGGAAGACACGUAUUCAUUUGGCGAACGGAAUCGGAUGGUUAUACAAAAAAGCCUCACUUCUGGUCUGCUCUCUCUCUUUCUCUCUCAUUGUCUCUUUUGACUUCUUCAUGUUUUUAAAGUAAUUCAACCGCACUUCUAUCAACAUGUGCAUAUUUCCUCGUAAAGAAAAGGGAUUAACGGAAGACAUAGCUCAAAUGAUUUAGACCUAUAUGUUUUACAGGAAAAAGACUAGAGGUUAGAAUCUUUCAUACGAGCAUAGUUCAUAAAUUAGAGGUUUGAAUCUUUGCUCUACAUGAUGUAAGUUAUAAUACUUGCUCUUUAUUGCAAUAGUAAUGAUUUCUUUAGUGUUGGAACAUAAGUACCAAUGAAUUGGAUAUCAUACAAAACAUGGAUGACUUUUA
RNA transcript from Cucumis sativus (cucumber), 4891 nucleotides. It is a transcript of the gene named cyclin-T1-5, with no coding region annotated. NCBI's taxonomy places the organism in Eukaryota, Viridiplantae, Streptophyta, Magnoliopsida, Cucurbitales, Cucurbitaceae. The record is from RefSeq and is a predicted model, not a curated record. The transcript is spliced from 8 exons.